GAAAAGAACUUUGAAGAGAGAGUUCAAUAGUACGUGAAACCGUUCAGAGGUAAACGGACAGGGCCGCAAAGUCUGUUGCACGGAUUCAACCGACAUGUGAACGGCUUUGUAUUGGAAGGCAUUCGCUCUGCGGAGACUUCUAGUGCAAGGCGCAACGAUCACGGUUGGUGCACUUUCGUGCGAUGGAGCGCCGCGACCGGUUGAUCGGCGGUAAGAAACUCCGUGGUUAGGUGACAUCUUCUCGUUAACGCGAGUCGGUGAGUUAUAAACCUGGAUGCUAAUUGCCCGUCGAGAGACCGAGGAGGACCGAGCUCAGGCGUUCUCGCCUUUAGACUUUGAUCGAACGUUCGACCGAGUAUCACUGCACAAGUAGUGUUUUUCGACCGCGUUUUGUUAAUCGUUUGAAGUGUCGAUGGACGCGAUAAACGCGAGGGGUCUGCGGCGAUUCGGUCGGUAGCCUGUCUGACCCGUCUUGAAACACGGACCAAGGAGUCUAACACGUGCGCGAGUCUCAGGGUCGUACGAAACCCGUUGGACGCAAUGAAAGUGAAAAUAAGGCUUUUUAAGUCUCUGUUUAGGUGGGAUCUCGAAACCGGUGACGGUGACGGGCGCACCACCGGCCCGUUUUAGCCGCUACGUCGGCGGGGCGGAGCAAGAGUGUACGCGUUGG
This 670-nucleotide ribosomal RNA is filed under the name Oxytonostoma typica. RNAcentral describes it as "partial 28S large subunit ribosomal RNA". It matches the Rfam family "Eukaryotic large subunit ribosomal RNA", at positions 366 to 812 of the family's 3401-position model. The record is from RNAcentral. Lineage: Eukaryota; Metazoa; Annelida; Clitellata; Hirudinida; Piscicolidae.